Molecule: ribosomal RNA, 307 nt
Filed under: uncultured bacterium
Lineage: Bacteria
Description: bacterial SSU rRNA
Rfam family: Bacterial small subunit ribosomal RNA
Source: RNAcentral
GACGAACGCUGGCGGCGUGCUUAACACAUGCAAGUCGAGCGGACGGAGGAACUUCGGUUCCGAAGUUAGCGGCGGACGGGUGAGUAACGCGUGAACAAUCUGUCCCAGACAGGGGGAUAACAGUCAGAAAUGGCUGCUAAUACCGCAUAAGCGCACAGUACCGCAUGGUACAGUGUGAAAAACUCCGGUGGUAUGAGAUGGACCCGCGUCUGAUUAGCUAGUUGGUGGGGUAACGGCCUACCAAGGCGACGAUCAGUAGCCGACCUGAGAGGGUGACCGGCCACAUUGGGACUGAGACACGGCCCAA